RNAcentral lists this ribosomal RNA (877 nucleotides) under uncultured fungus. RNAcentral describes it as "eukaryotic LSU rRNA". The stretch from base 432 to 585 matches the Rfam family "5.8S ribosomal RNA". The record is from RNAcentral. Lineage: Eukaryota; Fungi.
UCUUGGUCAUUUAGAGGAAGUAAAAGUCGUAACAAGGUUUCCGUAGGUGAACCUGCGGAAGGAUCAUUAAAGAAAUUUAAUAAUUUUGAAAAUGGAUUUUUUUGCUUUGGCAAGAGCAUGAGAGCUUUUACUGGGCAAGAAGACAAGAGAUGGAGAGUCCAGCCGGGCCUGCGCUUAAGUGCGCGGUCUUGCUAGGCUUGUAAGUUUCUUUCUUGCUAUUCCAAACGGUGAGAGAUUUCUGUGCUUUUGUUAUAGGACAAUUAAAACCGUUUCAAUACAACACACUGUGGAGUUUUCAUAUCUUUGCAACUUUUUCUUUGGGCAUUCGAGCAAUCGGGGCCCAGAGGUAACAAACACAAACAAUUUUAUCUAUUCAUUAAAUUUUUGUCAAAAGCAAGAAUUUUCGUAACUGGAAAUUUUAAAAUAUUAAAAACUUUCAACAACGGAUCUCUUGGUUCUCGCAUCGAUGAAGAACGCAGCGAAAUGCGAUACGUAAUGUGAAUUGCAGAAUUCCGUGAAUCAUCGAAUCUUUGAACGCACAUUGCGCCCCUUGGUAUUCCAGGGGGCAUGCCUGUUUGAGCGUCAUUUCCUUCUCAAACAUUCUGUUUGGUAGUGAGUGAUACUCUUUGGAGUUAACUUGAAAUUGCUGGCCUUUUCAUUGGAUGUUUUUUUCCAAAGAGAGGUUUCUCUGCGUGCUUGAGGUAUAAUGCAAGUACGGUCGUUUUAGGUUUUACCAACUGCGGCUAAUCUUUUUUUAUACUGAGCGUAUUGGAACGUUAUCGAUAAGAAGAGAGCGUCUAGGCGAACAAUAUUCUUAAAGUUUGACCUCAAAUCAGGUAGGAGUACCCGCUGAACUUAAGCAUAUCAAUAAGCGGAG